This 1952-nucleotide ribosomal RNA is filed under the name human gut metagenome. RNAcentral describes it as "bacterial LSU rRNA". It matches the Rfam family "Bacterial large subunit ribosomal RNA", at positions 3 to 1995 of the family's 2925-position model. The record is from RNAcentral.
UCAAGUGACUAAGUGUAUGUGGUGGAUGCCUUGGCGAUCACAGGCGAAGAAGGACGUAGUAGCUUGCGAUAAGCUGCGGGGAGCCGGCAAACGGGCAUUGAUCCGCAGAUUUCCGAAUGGGGGAACCCACCGACGUAAGUCGGUAUCACACACUGAAUACAUAGGUGUGUGAGGCGAACGGAGCGAACUGAAACAUCUAAGUAGCUCCAGGAAAAGAAAUCAACCGAGAUUGCGAAAGUAGCGGCGAGCGAAAUCGCAGCAGCCCAGUGUUCUGAUAGCACGAACGACAGCAGAAAGGUCUGGAAAGGCCUGCUAUAGAGGGUGAUAGCCCCGUAUGCGAAAUCGAACGUGUGGUACUAAGGAACCGAUAAGUAGGGCGGGACACGUGACAUCCUGUCUGAAGAUGGGGGGACCAUCCUCCAAGGCUAAAUACUCGUGAUCGACCGAUAGUGAACCAGUACUGUGAAGGAAAGGCGAAAAGAACCCCGGGAGGGGAGUGAAAUAGAACCUGAAACCGCAUACAUACAAACAGUAGGAGCCCCUGCAGUGGGGUGACUGCGUACCUUUUGCAUAAUGGGUCAGCGACUUACGUUUUGUGGCGAGCUUAACCGAGUAGGGGAGGCGUAGCGAAAGCGAGUUCGAAUAGAGCGAGAAGUCUCAAGGCGUAGACCCGAAACCAGAUGAGCUAUCCAUGGCCAGGUUGAAGGUGUGGUAACACACACUGGAGGACCGAACCGACUAGUGUUGCAAAAUUAGCGGAUGAGCUGUGGAUAGGGGUGAAAGGCUAAACAAAUCUGGAGAUAGCUGGUUCUCCCCGAAAACUAUUGAGGUAGUGCCUCGUGUAUGACUCCAGGGGGUAGAGCACUGUUAUGGCUAGGGGGACAUGGCGUCUUACCAAACCAUGGCAAACUCCGAAUACUUGGAAGUUUGAGCACGGGAGACAGAGCACCGGGUGCUAACGUCCGGACUCAAAAGGGAAACAACCCAGACCGCCGGCUAAGGUCCCAAAUAUUGACUAAGUGGAAAACGAAGUGGGAAGGCUAAGACAGUCAGGAAGUUGGCUUAGAAGCAGCCAUCCUUCAAAGAAAGCGUAAUAGCUCACUGAUCGAGUCCUCAUGCGCGGAAGAUGUAACGGGGCUAAGUCAAUAACCGAAAGCGCGGAUUUGCACGAUAAGUGCAAGUGGUAGGGGAGCGUUCUGUAAGCCUGCGAAGGUGGUUCGAGAGGACUGCUGGAGGUAUCAGAAGUGCGAAUGCUGACAUGAGUAACGUUAAAGCGGGUGAAAAGCCCGCUCGCCGUAAGCCCAAGGUUUCCUGCUCUACGUUCAUCGGAGCAGGGUGAGUCGGCCCCUAAGGCCAGGCUGAGAAGCGUAGUCGAUGGGAAGCAGAUUAAUAUUUCUGCACCAUGUGCAAGUGCGAUGGGGGGACGGAGUGCGAAAGAUCAUCCGGGUGUUGGAUGUCCCGGUUUGUGAGUGUAGAAGGCCGACAGGCAAAUCCGUCGGCGGAUCUUCGAGACAAAGCAUCGAGGUUCUACGGAACCGAAGUGAUCGGAAGUGCUUCCAGGAAAAGCCUCUAAGCUCCAGCUUGCAUGUGACCGUACCGUAAACCGACACUGGUGGGCGAGUUGAAUAUACUCAGGCGCUUGAGAGAACUCGGGAGAAGGAACUCGGCAAAUUGACACCGUAACUUCGGGAUAAGGUGUGCCUUUGUAGCGUGAAGAGAGAAACACUCGGAGCGUGAAGAGGCCUCAGAGAAUCGGUGGCUGCAACUGUUUAUUAAAAACACAGCACUCUGCAAAGACGAAAGUCGACGUAUAGGGUGUGAUGCCUGCCCGGUGCUGGAAGAUUAAGUGAUGGGGUGAGAGCUCCUGAUCGAAGUCCCAGUAAACGGCGGCCGUAACUAUAACGGUCCUAAGGUAGCGAAAUUCCUUGUCGGGUAAGUUCCGACCUGCACGA